RNAcentral lists this ribosomal RNA (465 nucleotides) under Vreelandella stevensii. RNAcentral's name for it is "partial 16S ribosomal RNA". It matches the Rfam family "Bacterial small subunit ribosomal RNA", at positions 338 to 795 of the family's 1533-position model. Lineage: Bacteria; Pseudomonadati; Pseudomonadota; Gammaproteobacteria; Oceanospirillales; Halomonadaceae. The record is from RNAcentral.
CCUACGAGAGGCAGCAGUGGGGAAUAUUGGACAAUGGGGGGAACCCUGAUCCAGCCAUGCCGCGUGUGUGAAGAAGGCCCUCGGGUUGUAAAGCACUUUCAGUGAGGAAGAACGCCUGGUGGUUAAUACCCAUCAGGAAAGACAUCACUCACAGAAGAAGCACCGGCUAACUCCGUGCCAGCAGCCGCGGUAAUACGGAGGGUGCGAGCGUUAAUCGGAAUUACUGGGCGUAAAGCGCGCGUAGGUGGCUUGAUAAGCCGGUUGUGAAAGCCCCGGGCUCAACCUGGGAACGGCAUCCGGAACUGUCAAGCUAGAGUGCAGGAGAGGAAGGUAGAAUUCCCGGUGUAGCGGUGAAAUGCGUAGAGAUCGGGAGGAAUACCAGUGGCGAAGGCGGCCUUCUGGACUGACACUGACACUGAGGUGCGAAAGCGUGGGUAGCAAACAGGAUUAGAUACCCUAGUAGUC